Triticum dicoccoides is the source of this 193-nucleotide long non-coding RNA. RefSeq lists it as uncharacterized. Lineage: Eukaryota; Viridiplantae; Streptophyta; Magnoliopsida; Poales; Poaceae. The record is from RefSeq and is a predicted model, not a curated record. The transcript is spliced from 3 exons.
AGAUGAAGCGUCUGGACGAUGGGACGGAGCAGGAGCAGGAGGCUGCUAUCAAGGAGACGUGCCAAGUCCUGAAGGAGAUGGAAAGCGAGGUCCAGAACCUCCGGGACGACAACAACCUGCUCCGCGACGAGCUCCUUGGCAAGGACCGGCAGCUUGCGGAGACGGAUACACUUUUAGUUGACAGGGAGCACCA